This 400-nucleotide transfer-messenger RNA is filed under the name Muribaculaceae bacterium. It matches the Rfam family "transfer-messenger RNA". Rfam says of the family: Bacterial tmRNA, also known as 10Sa RNA or SsrA, is named for its dual tRNA and mRNA-like properties. Its role is to liberate the mRNA from a stalled ribosome. Lineage: Bacteria; Pseudomonadati; Bacteroidota; Bacteroidia; Bacteroidales; Muribaculaceae. The record is from RNAcentral.
GGGGCUGACUGGCUUUGACAGCGCGUAGAGGUGGUGUGUAAGCAUGCAGAGCGAUGAUGCCUACGCUCUAUAAUCAGAGACAUCAAAAAUUCAAAUGGCGAAAACAACUACGCUCUUGCUGCUUGAUUGAAGUACAGUAGAUCAGCUUAAUCCCCGCGACAGUCGCAGGGACAAGACGUCACCCAGCCUGUUAACCGUUCCGAGACGGGCUGAUGUGGUGGCGCAGUAAAUCGGAAAUAGGAGUCCGAAAGCCUCGAGAAGGCUCCGAAACCUUAGAGGAUAAGGCGGCGGUUGGUAGUCUUCAGCCUGCCGACGCUCGAAAACCAAGCGAAGACUAAGCAUGUAGAAAGCACAUUAGUUCCGCGUUUGGACGAGGGUUCAAUCCCCUCCAGCUCCACCC